AGUGAACGCUGGCGGUAGGCCUAACACAUGCAAGUCGAACGGCAGCACAAUAAGAGCUUGCUCUUACGGGUGGCGAGUGGCGGACGGGUGAGGAAUACAUCGGCAUCUACUUUUUCGUGGGGGAUAACGUAGGGAAACUUACGCUAAUACCGCAUACGACCUACGGGUGAAAGCAGGGGAUCUUCGGACCUUGCGCGAUUGAAUGAGCCGAUGUCGGAUUAGCUAGUUGGCGGGGUAAAGGCCCACCAAGGCGACGAUCCGUAGCUGGUCUGAGAGGAUGAUCAGCCACACUGGAACUGGGACACGGUCCAGACUCCUACGGGAGGCAGCAGUGGGGAAUAUUGGACAAUGGGCGCAAGCCUGAUCCAGCCAUACCGCGUGGGUGAAGAAGGCCUUCGGGUUGUAAAGCCCUUUUGUUGGGAAAGAAAAGCAGCAGGUUAAUACCCCGCUGUUCUGACGGUACCCAAAGAAUAAGCACCGGCUAACUUCGUG
This 492-nucleotide ribosomal RNA is filed under the name uncultured bacterium. RNAcentral's name for it is "partial 16S ribosomal RNA". It matches the Rfam family "Bacterial small subunit ribosomal RNA", at positions 29 to 507 of the family's 1533-position model. The record is from RNAcentral.